This 884-nucleotide ribosomal RNA is filed under the name uncultured Neocallimastigales. Its description in RNAcentral is "partial large subunit ribosomal RNA". It matches the Rfam family "Eukaryotic large subunit ribosomal RNA", at positions 24 to 643 of the family's 3401-position model. Lineage: Eukaryota; Fungi; Neocallimastigomycota; Neocallimastigomycetes; Neocallimastigales. The record is from RNAcentral.
UAUGUGAUCGUCUCUCGCAUAUCAAUAAGCGGAGGAAAAGAAACUAACAAGGAUUCCCCUAGUAACGGCGAGUGAAGCGGGAAGAGCUCAAAUUUGAAAUCUUAAAGGGUUUCCCUUUACGAAUUGUAGUUUAAAGAAGUGUUUUCUGUUGAGGUUUUGGUAAAAGUUCUUUGGAAUAGGACAUCAUAGAGGGUGAGAAUCCCGUAUUUGACCUUUACUUUCAACUUUGUGAUACACUUUCAAAGAGUCGGAUUGUUUGGGAAUGCAGUCCAAAAUGGGUGGUAAAUUUCAUCUAAAGCUAAAUAUUGGCGAGAGACCGAUAGCGAACAAGUACCGUGAGGGAAAGAUGAAAAGGACUUUGAAAAGAGAGUUAAACAGUACGUGAAAUUGUCAAAAGGGAAGCGUUUGACACCAGUGUUGUUUUUCUGAAAAUCAAUUAAAGAACUGUUUAUGCUAAGUUGUUUAGACUUUAUCAGCUAUCUGCUUAGUUUUGAGCUUUUCUUUAAUGCACUUUUCAGUUAACAAGUCAACAUCAAUUUCUUUUGCUGUAAAAAAGCUUGAGGAAGGUGGCUUGAGAUUCGUCUUAAGUGUUUAUAGCCUCUUGCCUAUGCAGUCGGAGAGAUUGAGGUCUGCAGCGUAGAUCCUUCGGGGCUAAAUGCAUUUGUGCUAAGUUAUAGCAUUUUAUAGACAACUUGUUGACUAUGAUUUGUCUUGUAGCUUACUCGCUUAUGUUAUUUUACCUACGCUUAGGAUGUUGACACACGCGCGUGCUCGAUGAUAGUCUAUACAUGACUCUGUGCAUAUCAAUAAGCGGAGGAAAAGGCGGCGGAGAGUAUUGGUGUGGGCGUACCUACGCUUAGGAUGUUGACACACGCGCGUGCUCG